UGGGGCGUCGCCAAGCGGUAAGGCAGCGGUUUUUGGUACCGCCAUUCGGAGGUUCGAUCCCUCCCGCCCCAA
Molecule: transfer RNA, 72 nt
Filed under: Skermanella stibiiresistens SB22
Lineage: Bacteria; Pseudomonadati; Pseudomonadota; Alphaproteobacteria; Rhodospirillales; Azospirillaceae
Rfam family: tRNA
About the family: Transfer RNA (tRNA) molecules are approximately 80 nucleotides in length. Their secondary structure includes four short double-helical elements and three loops (D, anti-codon, and T loops).
Source: Rfam by way of RNAcentral